UUGAACUGAAGAGUUUGAUCCUGGCUCAGAUUGAACGCUGGCGGCAUGCCUUACACAUGCAAGUCGAACGGCAGCACGGGUGCUUGCACCUGGUGGCGAGUGGCGAACGGGUGAGUAAUACAUCGGAACAUGUCCUGUAGUGGGGGAUAGCCCGGCGAAAGCCGGAUUAAUACCGCAUACGAUCCACGGAUGAAAGCGG
This 199-nucleotide ribosomal RNA is filed under the name Burkholderia cenocepacia. RNAcentral describes it as "partial 16S ribosomal RNA". It matches the Rfam family "Bacterial small subunit ribosomal RNA", at positions 1 to 209 of the family's 1533-position model. Lineage: Bacteria; Pseudomonadati; Pseudomonadota; Betaproteobacteria; Burkholderiales; Burkholderiaceae. The record is from RNAcentral.